UCUGGUGACGAUGGCACGGAGGUCACACCUGUUCCCAUGCCGAACACAGAAGCUAAGCUCCUUAGCGC
RNAcentral lists this ribosomal RNA (68 nucleotides) under Staphylococcus pettenkoferi. Lineage: Bacteria; Bacillati; Bacillota; Bacilli; Caryophanales; Staphylococcaceae. The record is from RNAcentral.